AGACCCGAAACCCGGUGAUCUAGCCAUGGGCAGGUUGAAGGUUGGGUAACACUAACUGGAGGACCGAACCGACUAAUGUUGAAAAAUUAGCGGAUGACCUGUGGCUGGGGGUGAAAGGCCAAUCAAACCGGGAGAUAGCUGGUUCUCCCCGAAAGCUAUUUAGGUAGCGCCUCGUGAAUUCAUCUCCGGGGGUAGAGCACUGUUUCGGCUAGGGGGCCAUCCCGGCUUACCAACCCGAUGCAAACUGCGAAUACCGGAGAAUGUUAUCACGGGAGACACACGGCGGGUGCUAACGUCCGUCGUGAAGAGGGAAACAACCCAGACCGCCAGCUAAGGUCCCAAAGUCAUGGUUAAGUGGGAAACGAUGUGGGAAGGCCCAGACAGCCAGGAUGUUGGCUUAGAAGCAGCCAUCAUUUAAAGAAAGCGUAAUAGCUCACUGGUCGAGUCGGCCUGCGCGGAAGAUGUAACGGGGCUAAACCAUGCACCGAAGCUGCGGCAGCGACACUCAGGUGUUGUUGGGUAGGGGAGCGUUCUGUAAGCCUGCGAAGGUGGCCUGUGAGGGUUGCUGGAGGUAUCAGAAGUGCGAAUGCUGACAUAAGUAA
RNAcentral lists this ribosomal RNA (602 nucleotides) under Salmonella enterica subsp. enterica serovar Infantis. Its description in RNAcentral is "partial 23S ribosomal RNA". It matches the Rfam family "Bacterial large subunit ribosomal RNA", at positions 711 to 1309 of the family's 2925-position model. The record is from RNAcentral. RNAcentral also lists the same sequence under 1 other name. Lineage: Bacteria; Pseudomonadati; Pseudomonadota; Gammaproteobacteria; Enterobacterales; Enterobacteriaceae.